GUGGGGAAUCUUAGACAAUGGGCGCAAGCCUGAUCUAGCCAUGCCGCGUGAGCGAUGAAGGCCUUAGGGUUGUAAAGCUCUUUCAGGGGGGAAGAUAAUGACGGUACCCCCAGAAGAAGCCCCGGCUAACUCCGUGCCAGCAGCCGCGGUAAUACGGAGGGGGCUAGCGUUGUUCGGAAUUACUGGGCGUAAAGCGCACGUAGGCGGACCAGAAAGUCAGGGGUGAAAUCACGGGGCUCAACCCCGGAACUGCCUUUGAAACUCCUGGUCUUGAGGUCGAGAGAGGUGAGUGGAAUUCCGAGUGUAGAGGUGAAAUUCGUAGAUAUUCGGAGGAACACCAGUGGCGAAGGCGGCUCACUGGCUCGAUACUGACGCUGAGGUGCGAAAGCGUGGGGAGCAAACAGGAUUAGAAACCCCUGUAGUCC
Molecule: ribosomal RNA, 425 nt
Filed under: uncultured bacterium
Lineage: Bacteria
Description: partial 16S ribosomal RNA
Rfam family: Bacterial small subunit ribosomal RNA
Source: RNAcentral